UCAGGACGAACGCUGGCGGCGUGCUUAACACAUGCAAGUCGAACGAGAGGAGAAGGAAGCUUGCUUCUUUCAAAUCUAGUGGCAAACGGGUGAGUAACACGUAAACAACCUGCCUUCAGGAUGGGGACAACAGACGGAAACGACUGCUAAUACCGAAUACGUUCCUUAGGUCGCAUGACUUUAGGAAGAAAGGGUGGCCUCUACUUGUAAGCUAUCGCUUUGCGAUGGGUCUGCGUCUGAUUAGCUAGUUGGUGGGGCAAACGGCCUACCAAGGCGACGAUCAGUAGCCGGUCUGAGAGGAUGAACGGCCACAUUGGGACUGAGACACGGCCCAAACUCCUACGGGAGGCAGCAGUGGGGAAUAUUGCACAAUGGGGGAAACCCUGAUGCAGCGACGCCGCGUGAGCGAAGAAGUAUUUCGGUAUGUAAAGCUCUAUCAGCAGGGAAGAAGAAUGACGGUACCUGACUAAGAAGCACCGGCUAAAUACGUG
RNAcentral lists this ribosomal RNA (491 nucleotides) under uncultured bacterium. RNAcentral describes it as "bacterial SSU rRNA". It matches the Rfam family "Bacterial small subunit ribosomal RNA", at positions 24 to 507 of the family's 1533-position model. The record is from RNAcentral.